GACGAACGCUGGCGGCGUGCCUAAUACAUGCAAGUCGUGCGGACCUUUUAAAAGCUUGCUUUUAAAAGGUUAGCGGCGGACGGGUGAGUAACACGUGGGCAACCUGCCUGUAAGACUGGGAUAACGCCGGGAAACCGGGGCUAAUACCAGAUCGUUUUUUCCUCCGCAUGGAGGAAAAAGGAAAGGCGGCUUCGGCUGCCACUUACAGAUGGGCCCGCGGCGCAUUAGCUAGUUGGCGGGGUAACGGCCCACCAAGGCAACGAUGCGUAGCCGACCUGAGGGGGUGAUCGGCCACAUUGGGACUGAGACACGGCCCAAACUCCUACGGGAGGCAGCAGUAGGGAAUCUUCCGCAAUGGACGAAAGUCUGACGGAGCAACGCCGCGUGAGUGAAGAAGGCCUUCGGGUCGUAAAACUCUGUUGCCGGGGAAGAACAAGUGCCGUUCGAACAGGGCGGCGCCUUGACGGUACCCGGCCAGAAAGCCACGGCUAACUACGUG
RNAcentral lists this ribosomal RNA (499 nucleotides) under uncultured bacterium. RNAcentral describes it as "partial 16S ribosomal RNA". It matches the Rfam family "Bacterial small subunit ribosomal RNA", at positions 28 to 507 of the family's 1533-position model. The record is from RNAcentral.